UUGUAAGGAACUCGGCAAACUGUCUUCAUAAGUUAGACGAUAUGAAGAACCAUUGGAUGAUAUAUGUUUAGGCCUUUCAUAUUAUGGCUCUAGGGGUUUUCAGGCCCUUAGGGCUAUAGGUGAAGGGUAUAAAUUAUAUCCUUUAAGUGGUGGCACAGAAUCGGAGGCCCCGACUGUUUACUUAAAACACAGCUUUCUGCGACGAAUAAUAUCUUUGUAUAGAAAGCGAAUUUUGCCCAAUGCCAUUAAUAUAAGGUUGAUAAGCGCAUAGCGUAAUUAUUAAUUGAAGUUCUGGUCAAUGGCGGUCUUAUCUAUGAGGAUCCUAAGGUAGCAAAAUUAAUUGUCCAUUAAAUGUGGUCCUGACUGAAUAAAGUAACGAUGGUCUCGCUGUCUCUACAAGUAUCUCAGUGAAAUUGAAUUAGCCGUGCAGAUGCGGUUUAACUUCGGGUAGACGGGAAGACCCU
This 464-nucleotide ribosomal RNA is filed under the name Tulasnella danica. RNAcentral describes it as "LSU rRNA". It matches the Rfam family "Bacterial large subunit ribosomal RNA", at positions 1702 to 2092 of the family's 2925-position model. Lineage: Eukaryota; Fungi; Basidiomycota; Agaricomycetes; Cantharellales; Tulasnellaceae. The record is from RNAcentral.